Molecule: ribosomal RNA, 253 nt
Filed under: uncultured organism
Description: partial 16S ribosomal RNA
Rfam family: Bacterial small subunit ribosomal RNA
Source: RNAcentral
UACGUAGGGGGCCAGCGUUGUCCGGAAUGACUGGGCGUAAAGCGCGCGCAGGCGGUUUCUUGCGUCCGGGGUGCAAGGUGGGGGCUCAACCCCCAGAGGGCCCUGGAAACGGGGGAACUGGAGGGUCGGAGAGGUCCGGGGAAUUCCACGUGUAGCGGUGAAAUGCGUAGAGAUGUGGAGGAAUACCAGUGGCGAAGGCGCCGGACUGGACGAAACCUGACGCUGAGGCGCGAAGGCGUGGGGAGCAAACAGG